AUGUGUUUGAGUACUGAGUGUUGGAAAACGCCCUUCUACCUGUGUCACACCUGUCAGGAGAUAAUCCCUGCCAAUCUCGUCAUGACUCACCUCACCUCCACACUCCACCUUCGACGCACCCUGAUGUACCAGAGUCCGCAGUGUCUGCCAUUUGGGUGGGGGACAGAAAUGGGCCUGGAGGUCCUGAAGACUUUGGCCUGGGAGGAGGAGAGAGUCCGAGGAGAGAGAGACAAUGUACUGAAGGUGUUUGAUAUUCCUGACAGUGUUUUCCACAGCAUUAAGAUGUCCUCCUACUCCUCCGCCAUGAAGAAACUCAAGAACUUCCAUCGGUAUCUAAAAGUUGACAGGCCGCUGACGUUUUCCGCCCAUCUGAAAAACAAAGACCGGAGGAUUCCUAUGCUGGGUCUGCAGUUCCUGGUUCAGUACAGUGUUACUAGGGCCGGGGCCUCGUCUCCAGGCUGGGGCUUCCUCUGUUUGUUGUGUGAGAGGAAGUUGUCAGACGGACUCAGCAUCGCUCACAUACACAGCUAUGAACAUGUCACCAAGUUCCUGGAGCGUGCCCAUCCAGGCUCUGUGAAAGAGGUAGAGGAGUCUGAUAAGAGUAGCGAAAUACUGCUGGACCUGGCACAACAGGCUGAGAAAAUACAUGCCAUGGGUUGUCUACAGUUCAUGAUGUUGCAACGCUACAUCGGGGAGUCAGUCAUCUAUGAGAAAGCCUUAGUGAUCUUGAAGGCGAUCAAGAAGAGAGAGAACAUGGGAGACCUGAUGCCCAUGCUACCACCUGGCAAGAAACUGGUUCCCUCCAGUUCGAUCAGAGACCAGAGCCAGACUACCCCAGAACCUGCCCCUACAUCUGUAGGAGAGGAGAAACCGACCAGGAAAGAGACUGACAAAGACAAUGAGACCGAGAUGGACAGAGAGGCCACCCCAGAAACAAUUCAAAUGACCCAGGAGACUGGGGUGGAAGUGGACAAACGCAUUGGCAAAGAAACCUGCAGUGACCCCAGUAAAGACACUGGCAGAGAGACCAGUAAAGACACUGGCAGAGAGACCAGUAAAGACACUGGCAGAGAGACCAGUAAAGACACUGGCAGAGAGACCAGUAAAGACACUGGCAGAGAGACCAGUAAAGACACUGGCAGAGAGACCAGUAAAGACACUGGCAGAGAGACCAGUAAAGACACUGGCAGAGAGACCAGUAAAGACACUGGCAGAGAGACCAGUAAAGACACUGGCAGAGAGACCAGUAAAGACACUGGCAGAGAGACCAGUAAAGACACUGGCAGAGAGACCAGUAAAGACACUGGCAGAGAGACCAGUAAAGACACUGGCAGAGAGACCAGUAAAGACACUGGCAGAGAGACCAGUAAAGACACUGGCAGAGAGACCAGUAAAGACACUGGCAGAGAGACCAGUAAAGACACUGGCAGAGAGACCAGUAAAGACACUGGCAGAGAGACCAGUAAAGACACUGGCAGAGAGACCAGUAAAGACACUGGCAGAGAGACCAGUAAAGACACUGGCAGAGAGACCAGUAAAGACACUGGCAGAGAGACCAGUAAAGACACUGGCAGAGAGACCAGUAAAGACCCUGGCAGAGACUAG
Long non-coding RNA from Oncorhynchus kisutch (coho salmon), 1605 nucleotides. The record is from Ensembl. Lineage: Eukaryota; Metazoa; Chordata; Actinopteri; Salmoniformes; Salmonidae.